AACGUAGGAGGCGAGCGUUAUCCGGAUUCACUGGGCGUAAAGCGCGUGUAGGCGGUUCGGCAAGUCGGUCGUGAAAGCCCCUGGCUCAACUGGGGGAGGUCGGCCGAAACUGCGGGACUCGAGGGUCAGAGAGGAAGGUGGAAUUCCCGGUGUAGCGGUGGAAUGCGUAGAGAUCGGGAGGAACACUCGUGGCGAAGGCGGCCUUCUGGAGGACCCCUGACGCUGAGACGCGAAAGCGUGGGUAG
This 245-nucleotide ribosomal RNA is filed under the name uncultured bacterium. RNAcentral describes it as "partial 16S ribosomal RNA". It matches the Rfam family "Bacterial small subunit ribosomal RNA", at positions 524 to 768 of the family's 1533-position model. The record is from RNAcentral.